GACGAACGCUGGCGGCGUGCUUAACACAUGCAAGUCGAACGGAAAGGCCCUGCUUUUGUGGGGUGCUCGAGUGGCGAACGGGUGAGUAACACGUGAGUAACCUGCCCUUGACUUUGGGAUAACUUCAGGAAACUGGGGAGAAAACCGGAUAGGAGCUCCUGCUGCAUGGGGGUGGUUGGAAAGUUUCGGCGGUGGGGGAUGGACUAGCGGGUUAUCAGCUUGUUGGUGGGGUAGUGGCUUACCAAGGCUUUGACGGGUAGCCGGCCUGAGAGGGUGACCGGCCACAUUGGGACUGAGAGACGGCGCAGACUCCUACGGGAGGCAGCAGUGGGGAAUAUUGCACAAUGGGCGGAAGCCUGAUGCAGCAACGCCGCGUGCGGGAUGACGGCCUUCGGGUUGUAAACCGCUUUCGCCUGUGACGAAGCGUGAGUGACGGUAAUGGGUAAAGAAGCACCGGCUAACUACGUG
RNAcentral lists this ribosomal RNA (468 nucleotides) under uncultured bacterium. RNAcentral's name for it is "partial 16S ribosomal RNA". It matches the Rfam family "Bacterial small subunit ribosomal RNA", at positions 28 to 507 of the family's 1533-position model. The record is from RNAcentral.